Molecule: ribosomal RNA, 849 nt
Filed under: uncultured archaeon
Lineage: Archaea
Description: bacterial SSU rRNA
Rfam family: Archaeal small subunit ribosomal RNA
Source: RNAcentral
CUGACUGCUAUCGGAUUGGUACUAAGCCAUGCGAGUCAUUGUAGCAAUACAAGGCGGACGGCUCAGUAACACGUAGUCAACCUAACUCGUGGACGUGGAUAACCUCGGGAAACUGAGAAUAAACCACGAUAGAUCAUAGUGCCUGGAAUGGCUUAUGGUCCAAACAGUUUACUGCCAUGGGAUGGGACUGCGGCCUAUCAGCUUGUUGGUGAGGUAAUGGCCCACCAAGGCGAUUACAGGUACGGGCUCUGAGAGGAGUAGCCCGGAGAUGGGUACUGAGACACGGACCCAGGCCCUAUGGGGCGCAGCAGGCGAGAAACCUUAGCAAUGUGCGAAAGCACGACUGGGUCAGUCCGAGUGAUUCCUGAUAAAGGAGUCUUUUGCCUGUCCUAAAAGCACAGGUGAAUAAGGGGUGGGCAAGUCUGGUGUCAGCCGCCGCGGUAAUACCAGCACCUCGAGUGGUCAGGACGUUUAUUGGGCCUAAAGCAUCCGUAGCCGGCUCUGCAAGUCUUCGGUUAAAUCCACCUGCUCAACAGAUGGGCCGCUGGAGAUACUACAGAGCUAGGGAGUGGGAGAGGCAGACGGUAUUCAGUGGGUAGGGGUAAAAUCCACUGAUCCAUAGAGGACCACCAGUGGCGAAGGCGGUCUACCAGAACGCGUUCGACGGUGAGGGAUGAAAGCUGGGGGAGCAAACCGGAUUAGAUACCCGGGUAGUCCCAGCUGUAAACGAUGCAAACUCGGUGAUGCAUUGGCUUUUGGCCAAUGCAGUGCCGCAGGGAAGCCGUUAAGUUUGCCGCCUGGGAAGUACGGACGCAAGUCUGAAACUUAAAGGAAUGGGCGGGGGAGCAC